ACUAUCCUUGUUUCGGGGUAGCGCUACUGGCCAAUGAACAAACAAUGAGGGCAGUACUGCUAACACCUGCACAACACACCUGCAUCAACUGAGCUUUGCUUUACUUUGGUGCAAUUUUUGGAAAA
This 125-nucleotide non-coding RNA is filed under the name Prolemur simus (greater bamboo lemur). Its description in RNAcentral is "U4atac minor spliceosomal RNA (ENSPSMG00000020334.1)". It matches the Rfam family "U4atac minor spliceosomal RNA". From Rfam's summary of the family: U4atac is an essential component of the minor U12-type spliceosome complex which is required for removal of the rarer class of eukaryotic introns (AT-AC, U12-type). Lineage: Eukaryota; Metazoa; Chordata; Mammalia; Primates; Lemuridae. The record is from Rfam by way of RNAcentral.